GAUCCUCAUGCCUCAGCCUCCCAAGUAGCUGGAAUUACAGGCUGGGACUGGGCGAGCCGACCUCGGAAGCCUUUCAGAUGGAGGGAGAAAGGCUGAACAGGAACCUUCGGAUGACGGGAACCCGAGCUGACCUUUCCACUGCUGGAGACUUCGUGGGAGACCCUGUGCUAGAACUUCCCAGGAAGUGCCUCCCUGAGAUUCCAGACCCACAGAAGCUGAGAAAAUACAUCAUCGUUCCCAGAGGCUAAGUGUGGGGCAUUUUGUUAGGCAGCAAUAGCUAACUCACACAAGGGCCUUCUUGGAAGGAGAGCUGCUUUUUGAGGGUGAGAAAAAGCAUUCCUAGAUUUUUGCCAGCAGUUGGUCAAACUGUGUCACAUGACCAUGACUAGACCAAUCUCUGGUUAGGGGUGUGAUCAUCUUGGACCAAUCAGGACCCUGCCCUGGGGCUGGGCCAUGGCUCCUGGGAAUCACUGAGGGUGCUGGAUGCUGGAUCCCAGCCAGGAAGGAGCGGCCGAGAUACUGCCUCCUGGACUCCAUAAUGUCCAAGCUGCCAUUUAUUGAACACUGACUGUAUGCUUGGGUUUUCACCCACACCAAGCUCUGGCCCCACAGUUUUCUCACCAGCAGCCCCUUUCCCUCCUCCCAGCCUCCGUACCCGCCCAUCCUGCCACACUGAAUGCUGUUUCUGCCCCAGUUGCUAGUUAGAAUCCCACGCUUCCUUCAAGGAAAACCUCACCUUGGAGUCUGUCUCCACUUCCUGUAAGAAGCCUUCCAAGAUCCCCCACGGGGACUCAUCAGACGAGGAUAGGGAGUGAUGUCAUCCUGACUAUCACGACUGCAAUCAUUUCACUGCCACGGAGCUGGGGUGCCCUAGGCGGGCAAUUUUCUAGCUGUGUGACCUUGGGCAAGUUACUUAACCUUUCUGUGCCUCGCCUCCCCUGUCUGUAAAAUGGAGAUCAUAUUAGUACUUCCCUUGUUGGGUCAUCAUCCGAGUUAAAUGUUAUACACGCAAAGUGCUCGGGACCUCGUCCAGCCCACAGGAAGCAUUAGAUAAAUGUUAGCUGCUGUCAUUCCUCUCCCUGUUCUCUCAGUCCCCAUCAGCGCUAAAGACUGACCCAGGUCCAAUUGUCCUGCUUUGCCUGUGGCUCACUGUGGAUUCACAUAUGCACCCAGAGCGUACCCAGGAGCACCACGGAGCCCUGGCAAACUGCACAAGACGACCUGUCACGCUCCAGGAUCACCUGGCAAAUUUUCUCAUGAAUAAAACUGGGAGCUAAAAAUGUCUCACCCUUUUCUCCACCUACAAACCCGUCAGUCUCCCCUCUCUACAGAGGGCACAAGGUUGCACAGAUUGUUCCUUAAAAGAAUGGAAAAGGCAUUCCGGAAUCCAGGGCUAAUACAAUUACUCUAAAAGCAUUUCUCCCCUGUUCGAAGUUAACUCGCUCCUAACGAUGAUAAACUCUGCCGUGCCUGGCCCUCCAGCGCGAGGUGGGGUGAUGAUUCUCCUAAGCAGCGUUUUUUCUGCCUCCCACCAGGGUCCUGGUGUUCUCCACGCUCUGUGGCAGCCAGCAUGCCAGCAGCAUAGGUUUGGGGAUCGCAGAAGGCAAGCACUGGGAGGCAUUUCAAAGCCGUCCCAGUGCUGUCCUGGAGAAGAAGCGGCUAGGCUGCUGUCUGCUGACCUCCUGGGUGCCUCUUCAGAGCUUUCCAAAACAAGGGCUAAAGGGAAAAGACAAUACGCCCUUCACCAGGAACCCCAGGAAGAUGCAGGAAUGUUUUGGCUCAUUUAAGCUGGAUAAGACCCAGAUCCUGGAGGCUGUUCUGCAGAUUUUGACACUCGGAACAAUAUUCCGGUUUUCACCGGGUGAGUCACUCUUGGGAGACGGAGCUGUGUUGUUAGCAGUUUCAUUUUGACUUUGUGACAACUCAUGCCCUCCCUACUCCCUUUAUGCCAGCCCCCCAAAAGCAUCUACUGCCUGAAGUGGAGAGAGGCCUGGCUUCUCUUCGUCUGCUCUGGGGAGACCCUGAGUAGGACUUGCUUCGGAGACUGGAGCAAACUUGUGCAGAGGGUUGCUUUGUGAAUUACCUGGCACCAUUGUUCAGGGAAUGAGCCACAGUGCUUUGAAGGUUUGAUACUCUGGAGUCCUUGGAUAUGCAGACGCCCAAAGAAAGAAGUGCUUUACCUUCAUGGCCUCAGAGCUGGGAACAUUCUGGACCUCGGUGCUGGAGCCUGCUUUCACUUUCUCUACCACCACAAUCUCAGACUUGGCCAGACAGGGCACUUCAGACCUUCUCCUGACCAACCAGCCCAGGUCUGACUGGUUUUCCCAAAAGUGCUCACUGCAUCACAUAUAGACUGUAGUGCACAUUAAAAUGAAUUAUGUCCGGAGAAUGCAAGAUGAUCAGGCAUGAACCGUUUUGACUCCAACAAUUAUAAUGGCUCUGUGCCCUCUAUGUGUCAGAGGCUAUGAAACAGGUGUUAAAAAGAAUGAGGUGACUGGCCACGCCUGUCAUCCCAGCACUGUGGAAGGCUAAGGCGGGUGGAUCACUUGAGGUCAAAAGUUCGAGACCAGCCUGGCCAAUACGGGGAACCCUGUCUCUACCAAAAAUACGAAAAUUAGCCAGGCAUGGUGGCGUGUGCCUGUAAUCCCAGCUACUCAGGAGGCUAAGGCAGGAGAAUUGCUUGAACCCAGGAAACAGAGGUGGCAGUGAGCUGAGAUCCUGUCAUUGCACUCCAGCCUGGGUGACAGAGCACAACUCCAUCUCAAAAGAAAAAAAAAAAAGAAUGAGGUGACCUCUGUGUGUCCAGCAUGAAUUGACGUCUCAGACAUGUUAAAUAAAAAAAGCAAGUCACAGAACAAUACACAGAAAAUGGUCCAAAACAGAAAUAGCAACACAAAAAUUUAAAAAUGAAAUCAAGAACUCUUCUACAAAGAGGUGGGAUAUGGCAUAGUAGUCCUGUGACCACUUUGAUCAAAGCCACAGCGGCUUGACCUCCCUCCAACAUGUGCUGGCUGCUGGCCCUGUCCCUCUCUGAGCCUCAGUUUCCCUGUCUGUGGAAUGGGGAUGAUAAAAGUAAAAGCCUUAGAGGGUUGCUGUGGAUCCCGCAAAGUUUGUGAAGUACAGGCGCCCAGCCUCGUUGACUGUGCUUAUCAUCUGUGCCAUGGGGACAGCCUCAGGGGGCGAGGAUCUCUUUCCAAAAGAUGUUACGGAAUUUCUCACAGCUAGUGCAUGUGGAUUACAUGAGUACAUUUUUAACAAGUAAAAAAAAAGAAAGUUAAGGAUGCUAUUUCUAAAGGGAAAAUAUGCAGGAAGUUUUUAAGACCCUGACCCCUCACACACCCCCUCAGGGGCCGGCUUGCAGUUUCGGAGUGAGCACACGUGGGUAGCUCAGCUCUGCGGCGGAGGCUGUGGUCAGAGGCAGCUGCCUGGCGGAGGCUAGAAGGGCCCCUGGACAUUUAUCAAGGCCGGGGUGGGGAGACAUGCUGCCCCCCACCCGAGGCCCCACUCACGUUACCUGGUGGCUGAGACAGAAGUUCCUCAGUGAAGCACGCUCCUUCCUGCCCGGCAUGAUGAGCAGAGAUUAAGCACUCUGUUGACACACAAAGAAACAGCCCCAUCUGGAAAAUUCCGCAGCAGGGCGAGGCUGGCCAGGCCUUUAAUACAGGGGCCUGGAGGCUCCUGAGUGUUUACUAAGAGCUCAGCGGAUUGGGGGUGAGAAGGGAACUCUCUCAGUUCAGUAGCAUGUUUUCACUGCACACCUACUGUGUGCCCGGCACCAUUCCACACACUCAGGACGUGGCAGGUAGAUAAAUAAAUGAACGUGAGGACUGGA
Molecule: long non-coding RNA, 3832 nt
Organism: Macaca mulatta (Rhesus monkey)
Lineage: Eukaryota; Metazoa; Chordata; Mammalia; Primates; Cercopithecidae
Source: RefSeq, a predicted model, not a curated record